GACGAACGCUGGCGGCGUGCUUAACACAUGCAAGUCGAACGGAAAGGCCCUGCUUUUGUGGGGUGCUCGAGUGGCGAACGGGUGAGUAACACGUGAGUAACCUGCCCUUGUCUUUGGGAUAACUUCAGGAAACUGGGGCUAAUACCGGAUAGGAGCUCCUGCUGCAUGGUGGGGGUUGGAAAGUUUCGGCGGUUGGGGAUAGACUCGCGGCUUAUCCGCUUGUUGGUGGGGUAGUGGCUUACCAAGGCUUUGAAGGGUAGCCGGCCUGGGAGGGUGACCGGCCACAUUGGGACUGAGAUACGGCGCAGACUCCUACGGGAGGCAGCAGUGGGGAAUAUUGCACAAUGGGCGGAAGCCUGAUGCAGCAACGCCGCGUGCGGGAUGACGGCCUUCGGGUUGUAAACCGCUUUCGCCUGUGACGAAGCGUGAGUGACGGUAAUGGGUAAAGAAGCACCGGCUAACUACGUG
Molecule: ribosomal RNA, 468 nt
Filed under: uncultured bacterium
Lineage: Bacteria
Description: partial 16S ribosomal RNA
Rfam family: Bacterial small subunit ribosomal RNA
Source: RNAcentral